RNAcentral lists this ribosomal RNA (873 nucleotides) under Bolitophila sp. ER-2009. Its description in RNAcentral is "SSU rRNA". It matches the Rfam family "Eukaryotic small subunit ribosomal RNA", at positions 491 to 1284 of the family's 1831-position model. The record is from RNAcentral. Lineage: Eukaryota; Metazoa; Arthropoda; Insecta; Diptera; Mycetophilidae.
CUCACAUCCGAGGCCUUGUAAUUGGAAUGAGUACACUUUAAAUCCUUUAACAAGGAUCAAUUGGAGGGCAAGUCUGGUGCCAGCAGCCGCGGUAAUUCCAGCUCCAAUAGCGUAUAUUAAAGUUGUUGCGGUUAAAACGUUCGUAGUUGAACUUGUGUUUCGCACGGGCAGUACCUAGGACUAGGCAACUAGGACGGUACUUUGUCUUAUCUUUCUCUUUCCUUAUCGGAUUGGGAAAAAGUGCGUGAACGUAUUAUCGGCGUGUUCGUUCUUGAACGUUCACAUAAGCUCAUUUCAGUGCUCUUAACCGAGUGUUGUUGUGGGCCGAUACAAAUUACUUUGAACAAAUUAGAGUGCUUAAAGCAGGCUUGUAAUGCCUGAAUAUUUUGUGCAUGGAAUAAUGAAAUAGGACAUCUGUUCUACUUUCAUUGGUUUUUUAGACCAAGAUGUAAUGAUUAAUGGAAGCAGUUGGGGGCAUUAGUAUUACAACGCGAGAGGUGAAAUUCUUAGACCGUUGUAAGACUGUCUAAAGCGAAAGCAUUUGCCAAAGAUGUUUUCAUUUAAUCAAGAACGAAAGUUAGAGGUUCGAAGGCGAUCAGAUACCGCCCUAGUUCUAACCAUAAACGAUGCCAGCUAGCAAUUGAGUGUAGCUACUACUAUGGCUCUUUCAGUCGCUUCUCGGGAAACCAAAGCUUUUGGGCUCCGGGGGAAGUAUGGUUGCAAAGCUGAAACUUAAAGGAAUUGACGGAAGGGCACCACCAGGAGUGGAGCCUGCGGCUUAAUUUGACUCAACACGGGAAAACUUACCAGGUCCGAACAUAAAUGAGUAAGACAGAUUGAUAGCUCUUUCUCGAAUCUAUGGGUGGUGGUGCA